This is a long non-coding RNA of Fukomys damarensis (Damara mole-rat), 1104 nucleotides long. RefSeq lists it as uncharacterized. The record is from RefSeq and is a predicted model, not a curated record. The transcript is spliced from 4 exons. NCBI's taxonomy places the organism in Eukaryota, Metazoa, Chordata, Mammalia, Rodentia, Bathyergidae.
CAUUUGGGGCGGGGCGCUGGCCUAGAAGUGAAGCGCAUUGACUUGGGGCUUGUGACAUCAGCCAUGACUGAGUUCCCCCGUUUCAGAGCUCUCAGGAGGAUUACCCCUCUUCAUUAAGCCUGAUUGCAGAGCAUUUGUAAUUACUGUGGCUUAACUAUGGUCCGCUAAGGCAUGAAAGAAGUCACUGGAAGGACAGCGGGAAUAUCUAACAUUGCCUAAAGGACAAGGCUUAGGAAACACAGAAACUGGCGCAGCUCAAAGAGGAUCAGGAAGCAGCACAUCUGAGAAAUGUCAAAGCGAGAAGAAAUAUCUUAGCGACUGUGACUGUAUUAAAAUUUUGGAGAAGAGUGGCCUGCUUAAUGAAAUCACCCAGCACAGCCACGCUGGGAAUAUUUCCUUUUGCCUCUAUUCGAUUGGUUUAAUGCUCCAUGUUCAUCAGGAGUCAUGAAUGAGAGUCACAGUGAGACAGCUCCUUGCUCCAGUAAGAAUGAUUAUUAUGAAAAGGCUACAGAGAAACGAAAGCUAAUGCAUAUGUGGGGAAAAAGAACUCUUACACAUUGCCAGUGGGAGUGUAAAUUAGUACCAUAGGCCAAAAAACUACACUACAGAGCUGCCAUAUGAUCGGGCAGUCUCACUCCCGUGCAUAUAUAUCCGAAGGAAAUGAAAUCAGUAUGGCAAAGAGAGAGCCUCUAUGUUCACUGCAGCGCUGAUCACAGUAGCCAAGAAAUGGAAACAACCAAAGUACCCGUCAGGAAGUGAACAAAUGAGGGAAACGUUGUGCGUAUACGAAAUGGAGUAUUGCUCAGCCACAAAGAAGAGCGAAGUCCGGUCAUUUGUGACAAAGAAAGAUGGAAGUGGAGAUCAUUAGGUCAAGUAAAAUAAGCCAAGCACAGAAUGACCAGUACCACAUCAUUUUAAAAAAGUGGAUUGCAUAUGCGUCAAAAGAAGAAUGGCAGUUAGCAGAGGCUGGGACAGAAGAGGAAAGAGAGUAUGGAAGCCUGAGAGGCUGAACGAACUAUUUGGGGACCAAGCUAGGAAGACGGAGUAAGGAGUGAAACCCUGGAAGGCCAGCUCCAGAGCACUCCUGAGCACACAGUUCUGAAU